GAUGAACGCUGGCGGCGCGCCUAAUACAUGCAAGUCGAGCGAACCAUUUCGGUGGUGAGCGGCGAACGGGUGAGUAACACGUAGGUAAUCUAUCCAUUAGACGGGGACAACGACUGGAAACGGUCGCUAAUACCGGAUAGGACGAAAGUUUAAAGAUGCUUCGGCAUCACUAAUGGAUGAGCCUGCGGCGCAUUAGCUAGUUGGAGAGGUAAGAGCUCCCCAAGGCGACGAUGCGUAGCCGACCUGAGAGGGUGAACGGCCACACUGGGACUGAGACACGGCCCAGACUCCUACGGGAGGCAGCAGUAGGGAAUCUUCGGCAAUGGACGAAAGUCUGACCGAGCAACGCCGCGUGAAUGAAGAAGGCCUUCGGGUUGUAAAAUUCUGUUAUAAGGGAAGAAAGACACGAGUAGGAAGUGGCUCGUGAGUGACGGUACCUUAUGAGAAAGCCACGGCUAACUACGUGCCAGCCGCCGCAGUAA
Molecule: ribosomal RNA, 482 nt
Filed under: uncultured bacterium
Lineage: Bacteria
Description: partial 16S ribosomal RNA
Rfam family: Bacterial small subunit ribosomal RNA
Source: RNAcentral